Molecule: ribosomal RNA, 497 nt
Filed under: uncultured bacterium
Lineage: Bacteria
Description: partial 16S ribosomal RNA
Rfam family: Bacterial small subunit ribosomal RNA
Source: RNAcentral
GAUGAACGCUGGCGGCGUGCCUAAUACAUGCAAGUCGAGCGAAAAGACGAGGAGCUUGCUCCUCUGACGUUAGCGGCGGACGGGUGAGUAACACGUGGAUAACCUACCUAUAAGACUGGGAUAACUUCGGGAAACCGGAGCUAAUACCGGAUAAUAUAUUGAACCGCAUGGUUCAAUAGUGAAAGACGGUUUUGCUGUCACUUAUAGAUGGAUCCGCGCCGCAUUAGCUAGUUGGUAAGGUAACGGCUUACCAAGGCAACGAUGCGUAGCCGACCUGAGAGGGUGAUCGGCCACACUGGAACUGAGACACGGUCCAUACUCCUACGGGAGGCAGCAGUAGGGAAUCUGCCGCAAUGGGCGAAAGCCUGGCGGAGCAACGCCGCGUGAGUGAUGAAGGUCUUCGGAUCGUAAAACUCUGUUAUUAGGGAAGAACAAAUGUGUAAGUAACUAUGCACGUCUUGACGGUACCUAAUCAGAAAGCCACGGCUAACUACGUG